This 627-nucleotide long non-coding RNA is filed under the name Mus caroli (Ryukyu mouse). Its description in RNAcentral is "lncRNA (MGP_CAROLIEiJ_G0006109.1)". Lineage: Eukaryota; Metazoa; Chordata; Mammalia; Rodentia; Muridae. The record is from RNAcentral.
CCGUGGGCACGUUCUCGCUUCCACUCGGUCCUCCUUUUGUUAGCGCUCUGGCUUCCAUCAGGUCUACGCCUGCUCCCGUGCAAUCCGGCGCCAUCGCGCUUUGGGCGAGCAUGGCAAUGGGGAGUUGAGAGGUGGGAACCGAGCUGACGCCUGCCUGGCCCUGGCGAUGGUGGUGUGCGCCGGGAAAGGACUGAUUGGAGAAUGGUGCCUAAAGGGAUGCCGAGGGGACGCAGGAGCUCUCGGUGUGACCUGGCGCUGUGGAUGUAAUACACAUCAGCUUGAGUGGGGCUGCUCCGCUGUCCUCAUGAGAGAACCCUUUUUCUGAAGAUGGGAGGUGGCUAAUGAAAGAAGGAAUUGUGUUCUCGGUGAUGUCCUGAAGAGAUGCGGGAUGAUGGAAGAUGAUGAUGAAAUGCAGGAGAGGAAUGAAAUCAAAGGAUGUUUUUUGUAAGAGUAAUGCUUACAGAAAUAUUCAUUAAUUUGAAGAUUUAUAUAAGGCUUGGUGACCUCCGUUAAUUCCUGGGACCCACAGUGUGGAAGAAGAGACCUGACUCCUGGAAGUUGUCUUCUGACCACAUGCACACAAUACGUAAAUAAAUGUAAUUAAAAACAAUCAAAAUAGUAAAACUG